RNAcentral lists this unclassified non-coding RNA (330 nucleotides) under Hevea brasiliensis (rubber tree). Lineage: Eukaryota; Viridiplantae; Streptophyta; Magnoliopsida; Malpighiales; Euphorbiaceae. The record is from RNAcentral.
GUUGGAUUUCUGUCCCCUUGAUCCACCAAAACAACAAAUUCACUAAAAAAUGGCCAUCCAGUCUGCAUCUCCUCGUUUUUUCUCCUGUCUCCAUGAAUGCGAGGGACAUUACUGCUCUCAUGGGCAAAAAUUCAUUAUGCUCUUCAUUUAUCUGCUGCUUCAUCUUGUAAAUCGGUGCUGCCAUUAGUUUCCCACGAAUUUUGCAUGCAGCAUCAGCGUAAAGAACAUAUAGGUGAGAUGGGCUGCCAAGCAAUCUGCCACAUUUAAGGCAAUUCAUCUAAAAUGCAUGAUGUGCCUGACUUCAACUUCAGGCCUUUGCCAUAUGCAGCA